Molossus molossus (Pallas's mastiff bat) is the source of this 123-nucleotide small nuclear RNA. The record is from RefSeq and is a predicted model, not a curated record. NCBI's taxonomy places the organism in Eukaryota, Metazoa, Chordata, Mammalia, Chiroptera, Molossidae.
GUGUUGUUAGAAGGGAGAGAAGGUCAGCACUCCCCUUGACAAGAAUGGAAGAGGCUGUCGGGCUAACAACACACAUGGUUAAGGCAUUGCCACCUACUUUGUGGCAUCCAACCAUCGUUUUUA